GAUGAACGCUGGCGGCGUGCCUAAUACAUGCAAGUCGAGCGAACGGACGAGAAGCUUGCUUCUCUGAUGUUAGCGGCGGACGGGUGAGUAACACGUGGAUAACCUACCUAUAAGACUGGGAUAACUUCGGGAAACCGGAGCUAAUACCGGAUGAUAUUUUGAACCGCAUGGUUCAAUAGUGAAAGACGGUCUUGCUGUCACUUAUAGAUGGAUCCGCGCUGCAUUAGCUAGUUGGUAAGGUAACGGCUUACCAAGGCAACGAUGCAUAGCCGACCUGAGAGGGUGAUCGGCCACACUGGAACUGAGACACGGUCCAGACUCCUACGGGAGGCAGCAGUAGGGAAUCUUCCGCAAUGGGCGAAAGCCUGACGGAGCAACGCCGCGUGAGUGAUGAAGGUCUUCGGAUCGUAAAACUCUGUUAUUAGGGAAGAACAUAUGUGUAAGUAACUGUGCACAUCUUGACGGUACCUAAUAAGAAAGCCACGGCUAACUACGUG
This 497-nucleotide ribosomal RNA is filed under the name uncultured bacterium. Its description in RNAcentral is "partial 16S ribosomal RNA". It matches the Rfam family "Bacterial small subunit ribosomal RNA", at positions 28 to 507 of the family's 1533-position model. The record is from RNAcentral.